GAGUUUGAUCAUGGCUCAGAGUGAACGCUGGCGGCGUGCUUAACACAUGCAAGUCGAGCGGACUGAGUUGGUGCUUGCACCAAUGAGGUUAGCGGCAGACGGGUGAGUAAUACAUGGGAAUUUUCCUUGCAGUGGGGGGAUAACUAUUGGAAACAGUAGCUAAUACCGCAUAUUGUCGAGAGAUGAAAGAUUUAUCGCUGCAAGAUAAGCCCAUGCAAGAUUAGCUAGUUGGUAGGGUAAUGGCCUACCAAGGCAAUGAUCUUUAGUUGGUCUGAGAGGAUGAUCAGCCACACUGGAACUGAGACACGGUCCAGACUCCUACGGGAGGCAGCAGUGGGGAAUAUUGGACAAUGGGCGAAAGCCUGAUCCAGCAACGCCGCGUGAGUGAAGAAAGCCUUAGGGUUGUAAAGCUCUUUUAGUGGGGAAGAUAAUGACGGUACCACAGAAAAAGCCCCGGCUAACUUCGUGCCAGCCGCCGCAGUAAU
This 485-nucleotide ribosomal RNA is filed under the name uncultured Alphaproteobacteria bacterium. RNAcentral describes it as "bacterial SSU rRNA". It matches the Rfam family "Bacterial small subunit ribosomal RNA", at positions 9 to 524 of the family's 1533-position model. The record is from RNAcentral. Lineage: Bacteria; Pseudomonadati; Pseudomonadota; Alphaproteobacteria.